CCUACGGGGGGCAGCAGUGAGGAAUAUUGGACAAUGGGGGCAACCCUGAUCCAGCAACGCCGCGUGGAGGAUGAAGGUCUUUGGAUUGUAAACUCCUUUUCUUGGGGAAGAGCAAGGACGGUACCCGAGGAAUCAGUCACGGCUAACUACGUGCC
This 155-nucleotide ribosomal RNA is filed under the name uncultured bacterium. RNAcentral describes it as "partial 16S ribosomal RNA". It matches the Rfam family "Bacterial small subunit ribosomal RNA", at positions 338 to 509 of the family's 1533-position model. The record is from RNAcentral.